RNAcentral lists this ribosomal RNA (250 nucleotides) under uncultured bacterium. Its description in RNAcentral is "partial 16S ribosomal RNA". It matches the Rfam family "Bacterial small subunit ribosomal RNA", at positions 524 to 772 of the family's 1533-position model. The record is from RNAcentral.
UACGUAGGGUGCGAGCGUUGUCCGGAAUUAUUGGGCGUAAAGGGCUCGUAGGCGGUUUGUCGCGUCGGGAGUGAAAUCCAUUGGCUUAACUGGUGGCUUGCUUUCGAUACGGGCAGACUGGAGGUAUGCAGGGGAGAACGGAAUUCUUGGUGUGGCAGUGAAAUGCGUAGAGAUCAAGAGGAACACUCGUGGCGAAAGCGAGCUACUGGACAAUUCCUGACGCUGAGGCUCGAAGGCUAGGGUAAGCGAA